This 71-nucleotide transfer RNA is filed under the name Bos taurus (domestic cattle). It matches the Rfam family "tRNA". From Rfam's summary of the family: Transfer RNA (tRNA) molecules are approximately 80 nucleotides in length. Their secondary structure includes four short double-helical elements and three loops (D, anti-codon, and T loops). RNAcentral also lists the same sequence under 4 other names. Lineage: Eukaryota; Metazoa; Chordata; Mammalia; Artiodactyla; Bovidae. The record is from Rfam by way of RNAcentral.
CCCCAUAUGGCUCAGUGGGUAAAGAAUCUGCCUGCAGUGCAGGAGACCUGGGUUCGAUCCCUGGGUUGGGA